Molecule: long non-coding RNA, 279 nt
Filed under: Jatropha curcas
Lineage: Eukaryota; Viridiplantae; Streptophyta; Magnoliopsida; Malpighiales; Euphorbiaceae
Description: long non-coding RNA (JCUR_LNC001907)
Source: RNAcentral
GAAAUAACGAUGUAAAUAUAAAGGUAGAGUUCCGCAAUUGUAUUCCAGUUGGGUUGUAAAUAAAUAGUAAAAGUCCAUAUUAAAUAUAUGAACUGCAUUUUGGAUGCAUAUGUAUAAAAUGUUAAUGGGCCUGAAUCCAUAAUUAUGAAUAGAAAGUGAGAUUUAAAUAAGUUAGGCUUACUACGGGCUUCGGGGGCCUUAAGCCCACCCAGGUCCUAGUGCCGGUCCGGUCCAUGGAAAUGGGUCGUGACACAAGUGAUGGAUAUAGAUGUCAUAAAG